This 1251-nucleotide long non-coding RNA is filed under the name Physcomitrium patens. RNAcentral's name for it is "long non-coding RNA (PPAT_LNC003606)". The record is from RNAcentral. Lineage: Eukaryota; Viridiplantae; Streptophyta; Bryopsida; Funariales; Funariaceae.
UAAGCUGCAUGGUAAAUGGAAAUAAUUAUAUCAUUCUACCAUUUAUUUUCAUGAUAGAAACUAGUUUAGAGCUAAAAAAAUUGGAAUGCAAGAGAAUUGAUUCCCAUUCCGCACUUUCAAAUUACAAUUAGUGACAGUGCAGCCUUAAUAAACAAAGAAAUAGUUUACAUGAUGCACUAUAAAAACAUGCCUUGGAACUUGUCACAAGCUGCCAAAAAAGUGAGAAGUCGGCAAGAAUGGUUACUGCAUCGGCAUCUCACUUUCCACACUUUUGCGAAGAUUGUGGUUGUAUUGUCUCAUGUCGAAAAGCAGUGUUUAACGCCACUUUGUCAUGGAUAAUGAGACCCCAUGAACUCAAUCUAGCACAAGAAAACGUGAUUCGAAGGUGCUUCAGGAUUGUGGAGAAGUCUGUGGGUGCGAACUUCGAAGCGCACUAGGAAGGUUCUUGCGAGCAAGACUCCUUCCAUGCAGGGCUGUGAGAGUGUAGGAGAGUUUCGAACCAUGUUCCUUCAACUGCAACGUUGAAUCGUUAGCUUUGCGAAGAAAGAAGAAGACGGCGACGAGAAAGUGGUCGCCGGCGCCUCGUCUUGUAAAGCCAUUCGAAUCCAGAUGGUUAGUCUGCUGAGGAAUCUGAGAUUGUGGGUUCGAUGAGAAUGGCGGACGCCCACAAACCCUGACAACUGCACCAAGAACAAUCUCAAGGCAGCCGUUCUAGUCAAAACUCCAACUCCAGUGCUGCGUCGCUGACGGCGGUGUCAGUCCCCAGCCACAACAUAGCCCACAAAGGAUUGCAAUUGAUCCAAAAUGGAGUCACUGAGAGGCUGGGUGGAGGUGCGAUGGGGGUAAAGGGUAACAGAAACUUUUACCGUCCUUGAUAUAGCCGAACGAUCCCGGCGGAGUGCUAAAUGGGUCCUGAUUGUGGAUAGUGACGAAGAAUCAGGCAGCGUGCCGAACAUGUUCGACGUGCUUGCCUAUUAUGAUAACAAGGACAGGCUUCACCUUUCCUAGUUCUUUUCUUAGCAUCAAUACUUCGCUGCAGCGCCUGGAUGUGGUAAGCCCUCUGGCACGGAGCGCGCCUCGGGCGGAGCCAGAGGAGGAAGAUUUUGUGUCGCUAUUAUUGGAUUUCCAGGCUAAACAUAGUCUCGGUUUCGCUCCCCCCCCCCCGCUGGGCGAUUCAAACAAGGCCAUGCAACGGAACCGCCGUGGUCAACCGCCAAUUCACAGCCACGACUUCACCUCCACAAGUCUAUU